UACGUAGGGCGCAAGCGUUGUCCGGAAUUAUUGGGCGUAAAGAGCUCGUAGGCGGCUUGUCGCGUCUGCCGUGAAAGUCCGGGGCUCAACUCCGGAUCUGCGGUGGGUACGGGCAGACUAGAGUGAUGUAGGGGAGACUGGAAUUCCUGGUGUAGCGGUGAAAUGCGCAGAUAUCAGGAGGAACACCGAUGGCGAAGGCAGGUCUCUGGGCAUUAACUGACGCUGAGGAGCGAAAGCAUGGGGAGCGAACAGG
This 253-nucleotide ribosomal RNA is filed under the name uncultured bacterium. Its description in RNAcentral is "partial 16S ribosomal RNA". It matches the Rfam family "Bacterial small subunit ribosomal RNA", at positions 524 to 776 of the family's 1533-position model. The record is from RNAcentral.